UUUGAUUUCCUUCGGGACUGAUUAUUUUGUGACUGAGUGGCGGACGGGUGAGUAACGCGUGAGGAACCUGCCUUUCAGUGGGGGACAACAGUUGGAAACGACUGCUAAUACCGCAUAAGCGCACAGUUCCGCAUGGAACGGUGUGAAAAACUCCGGUGGUGUGAGAUGGACCCGCGUCUGAUUAGCCAGUUGGUGAGGUAACGGCUCACCAAGGCGACGAUCAGUAGCCGGCCUGAGAGGGUGAACGGCCACAUUGGGACUGAGACACGGCCCAAACUCC
Molecule: ribosomal RNA, 280 nt
Filed under: uncultured Lachnospiraceae bacterium
Lineage: Bacteria; Bacillati; Bacillota; Clostridia; Lachnospirales; Lachnospiraceae
Description: partial 16S ribosomal RNA
Rfam family: Bacterial small subunit ribosomal RNA (bases 42-280)
Source: RNAcentral